This 333-nucleotide long non-coding RNA is filed under the name Naja naja (Indian cobra). RNAcentral's name for it is "lncRNA (ENSNNAG00000011974.1)". The record is from RNAcentral. Lineage: Eukaryota; Metazoa; Chordata; Lepidosauria; Squamata; Elapidae.
AUUCAGGGCACAGUGAUGACAGAGGAUGUGGCUGUUCAGGUCACCGAGAAAGAAGCGAUCCUGCCAGAUCCUGCCCAGAAAGCCCGCAAAACCGUGGAGCAAGACUGUGGACUAAUGGCUGCCUUUGAAGCCGAUAAGUGGGCAGCCGAGAGAAAAGGAGACCCAUCACUGGGGCUGCCAGAAGGAGAUGGCAUUAAGAAGAGGGAGAAGCAGAGGAGAAAAUCGGUACCGAAUCGAAAAGGAUGAUGGAACUGAAUGAGUGCUCCGCUUCUCAGAGCAGCAAUUUCCAUCAAAAUGCAGUCCAAGAAAAAUAGAGAAGAUGAAUAGUAAGUG